GAUGAAGAACGCAGUGAAACGCGAUAGUUAAUGUGAAUUGCAGAAUUCAGUGAAUCAUCGAGUCUUUGAACGCACAUUGCGCCCAUAGGUAUUCCUUUGGGCAUGUCUGUUUGAGCGUCAUUACAACCCUCAGCGCAAGCUGGUUAUGAGUUGGCUGCAGCCCGCUUUCAUUUAUUUGAACGGGUGAAAUCCGGCUUUAAAGUUGUAUGCUCUGCUGGCUGCUUUGCCCGACCAAAACAUAGUAAAAUUUACGACUGUUUAUAGAACGGCUUUGCUUGCUCGGCCUGAAUAAAACCCAACAUUUCUUAGGUUUGACCUCAGAUCAGAUAAGGAUACCCGCUGAACUUAAGCAUAUCAAUAAGCGGAGGA
Molecule: unclassified non-coding RNA, 369 nt
Filed under: soil metagenome
Description: partial contains 5.8S ribosomal RNA, internal transcribed spacer 2, and large subunit ribosomal RNA
Rfam family: 5.8S ribosomal RNA (bases 1-120)
Source: RNAcentral